This 261-nucleotide unclassified non-coding RNA is filed under the name Hevea brasiliensis (rubber tree). Lineage: Eukaryota; Viridiplantae; Streptophyta; Magnoliopsida; Malpighiales; Euphorbiaceae. The record is from RNAcentral.
AUUUGCAUAGCUUAGCGGAUAUGUAGCUAAACUGACUGAUGAUGCUUGUAAUUGCUAUGUCUCAGCACAUCUUAUGCAUGGAAAUAAGUUCAGAUGGUUGGCAGCCAACACAAAAUAUUUAAUUUCUAGUGAAUUGCCCACUUAUACUGAUUUAUUUUUAUUUUGUUUAUUUUAUCUUGAAUAGCUUACAGGAACUCCAUGCCAUUAUUUUGGUUCUAUAUUCUUGUCUAUUGCUUGUAGAAACCUCGCUUUGAACUUACA